GCAAGUCGAGCGAGAACGUCGCCUUCGGGCGACUAGUAAAGCGGCGAACGGGUGAGUAACACGUGGGUAACCUGCCCUGGAGUGGGGGAUAACCUGGGGAAACUCGGGCUAAUACCGCAUACGACCUCAGCACUGCGGUGCUGAGAGGAAAGCUAGCCAAUUCUUGAAAGCUAGCGCUCUUGGAGGGGCCCGCGCCCGAUUAGCUUGUUGGUGAGGUAACGGCUCACCAAGGCGGUGAUCGGUAGCCGGCCUGAGAGGGCGAUC
RNAcentral lists this ribosomal RNA (264 nucleotides) under uncultured bacterium. RNAcentral describes it as "partial 16S ribosomal RNA". It matches the Rfam family "Bacterial small subunit ribosomal RNA", at positions 57 to 305 of the family's 1533-position model. The record is from RNAcentral.